UGGUAAGAGAGUCUCAAUCACUGUAGGAGUUAGGGGCAGAAGAGGGAAGCAAAAAUGAUUAUUUUGGUAAAGGAUCCCUGGUGAAUUUAAUGUGAAGCAAUGGUUUGAGACAGAUGAGUAAAUGCCUAUUCAGAUCAGGAUAGAGAAAGUCACAUCAGAAAUACAGAACAUUUUCAUCAAAA
Long non-coding RNA from Oxyura jamaicensis (ruddy duck), 182 nucleotides. RefSeq lists it as uncharacterized. NCBI's taxonomy places the organism in Eukaryota, Metazoa, Chordata, Aves, Anseriformes, Anatidae. The transcript has 2 exons. The record is from RefSeq and is a predicted model, not a curated record.